AUGUUUUAAGAACCUUGAAAAGUGAACGGCAUAUAUUAGAAGAUUUUGAUCUAACGAUAGAUGUUCUUG
RNAcentral lists this small RNA (69 nucleotides) under Arabidopsis thaliana (thale cress). RNAcentral describes it as "ATSL149610". The record is from RNAcentral. Lineage: Eukaryota; Viridiplantae; Streptophyta; Magnoliopsida; Brassicales; Brassicaceae.